CCGGUGCUAGGCCGCGGCCUGGGCCUCGCGUAGCGCCGGUGCCCGUCCCGGUGAGGCCGAACCGGGCCCGGUGCUCGCGGAGGGGCCGAGGCGGAGCCCGCACCUCCGGAGCCGUCACCGGAUGCGCGCAGCCCCCGGCGGUGCCCGGACCGCUGCCCCGGGGCCCUCCGCGGCCUCGUCCCGACGACGGCGCUGGCCUGGCCCGGUGCGGCCUCCGUGUCCGGUGGGCAGUGACCUGUGAGCCUGAGGAUGCCUCUGCACGGAGCGAGGGCUGCGGCUCUGCUGGCUUGGGUGAACAGCACCAAUGUGUGCUCCGAGCCCAUCCAGGAGCUGUCCCAGCUCCGGGACUGCAGCGUCUUCAUCCGGAUCAUCAGCAGGAUG
Molecule: long non-coding RNA, 381 nt
Organism: Melopsittacus undulatus (budgerigar)
Lineage: Eukaryota; Metazoa; Chordata; Aves; Psittaciformes; Psittaculidae
Exons: 3
Source: RefSeq, a predicted model, not a curated record